Molecule: non-coding RNA, 30 nt
Filed under: Mus musculus (house mouse)
Lineage: Eukaryota; Metazoa; Chordata; Mammalia; Rodentia; Muridae
Source: RNAcentral
UAAUGUGUAUGUUGCAUUGCAUUUUUGUGU